This 253-nucleotide ribosomal RNA is filed under the name uncultured bacterium. Its description in RNAcentral is "partial 16S ribosomal RNA". It matches the Rfam family "Bacterial small subunit ribosomal RNA", at positions 524 to 776 of the family's 1533-position model. The record is from RNAcentral.
UACGUAGGUCGCAAGCGUUGUCCGGAUUUACUGGGCGUAAAGAGCGCGCAGGCGGCUGGUCAAGUCCGAUGUGAAAUCUCCCGGCUUAACUGGGAAACUGCAUCGGAAACUGAUCGGCUUGAAGGUGGGAGAGGGUAGUGGAAUUCCCGGUGUAGUGGUGAAAUGCGUAGAUAUCCGGAGGAACACCGGUGGCGAAGGCGGCUUCCUGGACCGACACUGACGCUGAGGCGCGAAAGCUAGGGGAGCAAACGGG